UGCACGUGUUUUAUUUUGUCUGAUAAUUAUAAUAUUUUCUCGCAAUUCCGCACCAUUUGUAUCAGAUUUUGUAAUCAAUUUCUUAACUAACAUCUAUGAUUAAUUGCUUUUAACUCUUUAUCAUUUUAAUGAAUAACUUUUGUGAUUGGCUCAACGAAAGAGCGACAAUAUUUGCAUUUUUGUGUCGCGAAGAAUUUUUGCUGGUUUUAAAGGGUUUACACAUAAGCCCGAAAUUUUAGGAGUAUCAUUCUUAGAUGAGACUCGGAUUUGCCUCGGGGCCCGACAUCGUGGGAAAACCAUUUCUGUGCCAGAUUGAGUUAUACACCUGAACCCGACAUCAUAGGAGAACCAUUUCUGCAUCUGAUUGAGUUAUGCACCUGAACCCGACAUUGUAGAGGAACCAUUUCUACAUCAGAUUGAGUUUUGCACCUGAACCCGACAUUGUAGAGGAACCAUUUCUGUAUCAGAUUGACUUUCGCACCUGAACCCGACAUUGUAGGAGAACCAUUUCCACA
Dalotia coriaria is the source of this 515-nucleotide long non-coding RNA. RefSeq lists it as uncharacterized. The transcript has 6 exons. NCBI's taxonomy places the organism in Eukaryota, Metazoa, Arthropoda, Insecta, Coleoptera, Staphylinidae. The record is from RefSeq and is a predicted model, not a curated record.